This 355-nucleotide unclassified non-coding RNA is filed under the name uncultured fungus. RNAcentral describes it as "partial contains 5.8S ribosomal RNA and internal transcribed spacer 2". The stretch from base 1 to 133 matches the Rfam family "5.8S ribosomal RNA", at positions 22 to 154 of the family's 154-position model. The record is from RNAcentral. Lineage: Eukaryota; Fungi.
UGGUUCUGGCAUCGAUGAAGAACGCAGCGAAAUGCGAUAAGUAAUGUGAAUUGCAGAAUUCAGUGAAUCAUCGAAUCUUUGAACGCACAUUGCGCCCAUUAGUAUUCUAGUGGGCAUGCCUGUUCGAGCGUCAUUAACACCACUUAAGCUCAGCUUAGUGUUGGGAAUCUACGCGGGGGCAGCUACCCGGGACUUACCCUGUAGCUACCCUGUAGUUCCUCAAAGAUAGCGGCGGAGUCGUGGUAAUCCUCUGAGCUUAGUAGUAAAAUUCUAGCUUUCGAGUAUCCACUUCCCUUGCCGUUAAACACCCUUCUUUUGAAUGGUUGACCUCGGAUCAGGUAGGAAUACCCGCUGA